AGAUUGAACGCUAGCGGGAUGCUUUACACAUGCAAGUCGAACGGCAGCGCGGACUUCGGUCUGGCGGCGAGUGGCGAACGGGUGAGUAAUAUAUCGGAACGUGCCCAGUAGCGGGGGAUAACUACGCGAAAGCGUGGCUAAUACCGCAUACGCCCUACGGGGGAAAGGGGGGGAUCGCAAGACCUCUCACUAUUGGAGCGGCCGAUAUCAGAUUAGCUAGUUGGUGAGGUAAGGCUCACC
This 240-nucleotide ribosomal RNA is filed under the name uncultured soil bacterium. RNAcentral's name for it is "partial 16S ribosomal RNA". It matches the Rfam family "Bacterial small subunit ribosomal RNA", at positions 26 to 269 of the family's 1533-position model. The record is from RNAcentral.